This 232-nucleotide long non-coding RNA is filed under the name Carica papaya (papaya). RNAcentral describes it as "long non-coding RNA (CPAP_LNC014585)". Lineage: Eukaryota; Viridiplantae; Streptophyta; Magnoliopsida; Brassicales; Caricaceae. The record is from RNAcentral.
GUCUGAUCCAGUCAUUCCACUUGGGUAAUUGGAAAUCUGUAUCUGCCCUCUGAGAUGAAAGUUGGUAAUGACUUCAAGAAGCAUGACACGAAAAAUCUGUGCAUUUUAUGAUUUAUUUGAUUUUCUCUAUUAUCUGUCAUGAUAUAUAUUUGAUCUUCUGUGCUAAUGUACCAUUUUCAUAUUCAAACAAAUGGUUUUCAUAAUGAUGAGAUAGGUAAACAAGGAAGUAAAU